CGGGGCGUAGCGCAGCUUGGUAGCGCGCUUGCAUGGGGUGCAAGAGGUCGUGAGUUCGAAUCUCACCAGCCCGACCA
This 77-nucleotide transfer RNA is filed under the name Paracoccaceae bacterium. RNAcentral describes it as "Rhodobacteraceae bacterium (marine metagenome) tRNA-Pro". It matches the Rfam family "tRNA". Rfam says of the family: Transfer RNA (tRNA) molecules are approximately 80 nucleotides in length. Their secondary structure includes four short double-helical elements and three loops (D, anti-codon, and T loops). Further hydrogen bonds mediate the characteristic L-shaped molecular structure. tRNAs have two regions of fundamental functional importance: the anti-codon, which is responsible for specific mRNA codon recognition, and the 3' end, to which the tRNAs corresponding amino acid is attached (by aminoacyl-tRNA synthetases). tRNAs cope with the degeneracy of the genetic code in two manners: having more than one tRNA (with a specific anti-codon) for a particular amino acid; and 'wobble' base-pairing, i.e. permitting non-standard base-pairing at the 3rd anti-codon position. The record is from RNAcentral. Lineage: Bacteria; Pseudomonadati; Pseudomonadota; Alphaproteobacteria; Rhodobacterales; Paracoccaceae.